Molecule: ribosomal RNA, 531 nt
Filed under: uncultured bacterium
Lineage: Bacteria
Description: bacterial LSU rRNA
Rfam family: Bacterial large subunit ribosomal RNA
Source: RNAcentral
GGAUGAUUUGGCGCUAGAUGGCGAUGAAGGGGCGCGGUAAGCUGCGAUAAGCGCGGGGGAGUUGCAAACAAACUUUGAUCCCGCGAUUUCCGAAUGGGGCAACCUGCCGGGGAGUAAUCCCCGGGAUGGGAAACUGAAUACAUAGGUUUCUCAGGCCAGACGGGGGGAAUUGAAACAUCUCAGUACCUCCAGGAAGAGAAAGAAAUUCGAUUUCCCUAGUAGCGGCGAGCGAAAGGGAAUCAGCCCAAACCGUAAGCAUGUCAAGUCUGCAAGCGUUGUGUUUACGGGGUUACGAGGUGAGGCCGUCGAUCAUUGCAGUGAUCGAGGGAAGUUACAAAACUGUUCUGUAGUCAAAAUGCCUGGAAUGGCAUACCCAAGAGAGUGAUAGUCUCGUAGACGGCACGGAACAGACUUCUUUGGUCUCAAUCUCAAGUAUUGCCUGAUAAGUGGAACCAGGCGAGAAGUCGGGAGAACCAUCUCCUAAAGGCUAAAAUACAAGCUAGCGACCGAUAGUGAACAAGUACCGCAGGG